This is a non-coding RNA of Fusarium oxysporum f. sp. cubense, 149 nucleotides long. The record is from Rfam. Lineage: Eukaryota; Fungi; Ascomycota; Sordariomycetes; Hypocreales; Nectriaceae.
GAACCCUUGACUCACUCUGAAAUCUACCAUCAUGCCCCGUGGUUUAUUUCUAUUUUUGUGCAAGGAAGAGAAACCUUGGCCCAAUACUCACCGCGACAUACUAGCGAUAAAGCUCUUGUGGAUGUAGCGGUCCAUCAUCAUGGCCACAU